ACUUAAAUAGUUUAAAUAAAAUAAAGUAUUGUGGUUACUAAGAUAAAAAUAUUUUUUAAGUU
This 62-nucleotide transfer RNA is filed under the name Osbornellus sp. EMHAU-2015-Zz052506. RNAcentral's name for it is "tRNA-His". The record is from RNAcentral. Lineage: Eukaryota; Metazoa; Arthropoda; Insecta; Hemiptera; Cicadellidae.